GGCUCUCUGUUUACAUAAAUAUAGGGAGUCGAGCCUGCCCAGUGAAUUUUUAAACGGCCGCGGUACUCUGACCGUGCAAAGGUAGCAUAAUCAUUUGCCUUAUAAUUGAAGGCUGGUAUGAAUGGUUUGACGAGAGCAACACUGUCUCCUUUUUAUUUUCAAGAACUUAACUUUUAGGUGAAGAGGCCUAAAUUUUAUUGAAGGACAAGAAGACCCUAUCGAGCUUAAAAGACAUUAUAGAAGUUUAUAUAUCUCUAAAUAAAUUUUCUAUUGAGCUUUUUAGUUGGGGCGACUAAGGAACAAAAAAAGCUUCUUGCUAAUAAUAGACAGUCAUGUUUAGAUCCGAUAAUAAUCGAUCAAAGAAAUUAGUUACCGUAGGGAUAACAGCAUAAUCUCUCUUGAGAGACCUAAUCGAAAGAGGGGGUUGUGACCUCGAUGUUGGACUAGAAUAUCCUAAAGAUGCAGAAGUCUUUGAAGGUCGGUCUGUUCGACCGUUAAAAUUCU
This 504-nucleotide ribosomal RNA is filed under the name Juga plicifera. RNAcentral's name for it is "partial large subunit ribosomal RNA". It matches the Rfam family "Bacterial large subunit ribosomal RNA", at positions 1817 to 2597 of the family's 2925-position model. The record is from RNAcentral. Lineage: Eukaryota; Metazoa; Mollusca; Gastropoda; Semisulcospiridae.